RNAcentral lists this transfer RNA (67 nucleotides) under Epomops franqueti (Franquet's epauletted bat). Its description in RNAcentral is "tRNA-Val". The record is from RNAcentral. Lineage: Eukaryota; Metazoa; Chordata; Mammalia; Chiroptera; Pteropodidae.
AAAGUGUAGCUUAUAUAAAGCACCUGGCUUACACCCAGAAGAUACCAUGUAAUAAUAGUCACUUUGA